UACGGAAGGCAGCAGUGGGGAAUAUUGCACAAUGGGCGAAAGCCUGAUGCAGCUAUGCCGCGUGUAUGAAGAAGGCCUUAGGGUUGUAAAGUACUUUCAUCGGGGAGGAAAAACAAAACUAAUAAUUUUAUUUCUUGACGUUACCCGAAAAAGAAGCACCGGCUAACUCCGUGCCAGCAGCCGCGGUAAUACGGAGGGUGCUAGCGUUAAUCAGAAUUACUGGGCGUAAAGAGCACGUAGGUGGUUUUUUUAAGUCAGAUGUGAAAUCCCUGGGCUUAACCUAGGAACUGCAUUUUGAAACUGAAAUACUAGAGUAUCGUAGAGGGAGGUAGAAUUCUAGGUGUAGCGGUGAAAUGCGUAGAUAUCUGGAGGAAUACCUGUGGCGAAAGUCGGCCUCCUAAACGAAUACUGACACUGAGGUGCGAAAGCGUGGGGAGCAAACAGGGAUUAGAUACC
Molecule: ribosomal RNA, 456 nt
Filed under: uncultured bacterium
Lineage: Bacteria
Description: bacterial SSU rRNA
Rfam family: Bacterial small subunit ribosomal RNA
Source: RNAcentral